GUCAUUUGGAACCCUGUUCCUCUUCCUGAGCUCGGCCAGCAGGGAGAGGCCGUGUGCGCGGCGUGCCCGCGGCCAUCGGCCCAGGCGGCUAACGUGGCGGCCCCCUCCUUCCCCCCUCCCCACAGGGGCGGCCGCCAUGUUUCCUGCCUACAAAAUGGCGGCAUGGUGCCCGGAGUCGUCGUUAACGAAAAAUAGGGGUCGGCUCGAAAGCUCUAGAACGCGCCCCCUCCCGCUCACUCCACGGCGCCCACGGCUCGGGGGCGGGGGGCGGGGGUCUCCCGGGAGCCGCGGGGGCCGCUGUCACCCCGGGCUCUACACUCCGCUCCCGGCCGGCGAAUUUUAAUAAGAGCCCGUCAUUCAUUUGCACGAGGAACCCGAAUGGCGUAAAGUGGCCCCAACCGCGCAUCUCUCGUCGCCCUUGUCAAGUUUAAUGAUGGCUAAUGAGGCGCUGGCAGGGGAGGGCUGUAGCAUCAGGGGGUGACUUGGGUCCCCAGUAGCAACACAUUCAGUGACCAGGGCUUUCCUAGAUGCCUCACAUAGGCCGGGGUGCUGGAGAGAGGAGGAAACGGUUUCAACACUCUCUUAAUAAAAAUAAUAGUAAUUAAUAAUAAUACACUUUCCAUGAGAGGGCAUGGAUGCUGGUUGCCUUAUUUUCCCACUGGCCAACCGGCCGGGGAAACUCAGUUCCCCCCCGUCGGUUUUCAGUGUAGAAGGGGAUCGUGCCCGUCUCAGUGCCCGGCUCUGUGCUGGCAUUUUGCCCUACAUGACCCUUAUUUUUAUGGUGAUCAUCAGGUAGGUGGUGUUACAGCUCUCUCUCUCUCUCUCUCUCUCUCUCAACAGAUAAAAUCAUUUAGACCCAGAGAGAUGAAAUGACUAACUCAAGGUCACACAGUGUCGAGGACACAGUGUCGAGGAUGGAAUCCAGACCUUCUGAUUUCCUUGUUGAACUACUCCAUCUUGUGGACACGUGAGUUCCACAAGAUUUCAACAUGAAUUCUGCCACCCAUUUUACAGAUGAAGUCACUGAGAUAUGGAGCAACUGACUAAAUAGUCACUGCCCCACCCAUGGAACCUCACAGAUGACUCUUCUCUCAAUCAAGUAUCGGACAUUGGUUAAGGGGUUUGACCAGGUUAGGAAGAAAUCCUAGAGCACUCUUCACAUGGGGCAAGCACCCAUUCAGGCUACUUCAAGCCAGUUGUAGAAACUAACCUCAGCAGCUUCAGGAAAUCAGGAUUCUUCCCAGCCUGGCUCUGAAGUUUCUCUUUUGAAAUUUAUCUUUGAAAUGUGGUCUUGUCACCACAACAAGGUAGUUUAAAAAUAAGACUUUGGAUCCAGCCUGUUGGAAUUUGAAUUCUGAUUCUGCCACUUACUAUGUAGUUGUGGAGUUUAUAAAGCAGUCAGAAUGACCAUCAAGGGACCCAGAAGAUGGCUCAGUGGCUUAAAGUGCAUACAUGGUGAGCACAACAUUGAGAGUUCAAAACUUGCGUGUACUAUGACGGUCUGAUUGCUCUGCCGUUGAAGGUCUCAGAGGAAGGGCCUGGACUUAGUCCAGGAAGCAGGAUGAGGUGGGAUGCUUGAGCCAAUUGGACAGUGUUGGGAUUCAAACCGUGGAAUUGUUGCUGCAGCCACGUGCAAGGCAAAUGCCGUUAAUCUCUAUACUGCCUCUGCGGCCCAAAGUGAGAGGACUCAAAGCCAGGGACCCCUGCACACAAGACAUGCAAUACUUCCGAGCCAUAUUCUUCUGCCCUUCCACCAAGUUUCAGUAUUGAACCUGCUUUUCAAAAUAAAAUUUUUUAUUCACAC
Sorex araneus (European shrew) is the source of this 1804-nucleotide long non-coding RNA. RefSeq lists it as uncharacterized. Lineage: Eukaryota; Metazoa; Chordata; Mammalia; Eulipotyphla; Soricidae. The record is from RefSeq and is a predicted model, not a curated record. The transcript is spliced from 7 exons.